CUUCGCUUUCUAAAUUGAAAAUCCAAAUCGACCUAGCCAUCAAAACCUAACAGAGAAAUAGAACUCUAGUAAGGCGAAAUAGUUUGAGAAGGAGAACAAACUCUUCUCCGGGAAGUCAUGGUAGUUGCCCUGAUUUUCUAGCAUUGUGAGAAUGAGUGUUCUGUUUGCUCUGGUUUACUUCUCCUUCCUAUCAAUCUCAUGUGCCCCAUCUUUCAACUAGUCGUGGAGUAUCUUAUGUGUGAUUAAGAAAUAAACUUCCUUCACCCACAAAAUCAGUUCACCUUUUGCAUUAGCAGGCGUGAGUAUUGGUUCGUUUGAAGGAUUUGGAUUGUUUGGGUAUCCAUCAGCAGCUGAAUUAAUCACCAGUUUAGGAGAAAUUAUGCGUUUGAGCGAUCAGACAUACCUCUAGAGGAGCAUUAUGUUCUAUGAUAACUUUCCCAUUCAAGGAUCCACCACUUCCUACAGAUCUCAAGGGAGAGCAUUUUUCUGCUUUGACGGGAACUCAUUGCAGGUAAAUUAGUUUAGUACCAUGUGGAUUCAUAUAAGAAGUAUAGUGCUUUUCGGUAUCCCACACUUUGAAUAUAUUUGUGGUUAACUAUGCAUGUUAUUUCUCGAUUUAGUGAAGCUAAUGUAAACAGUUUUAUUUGUGGAGUCAAAUCCCACUAGGUAUCAACAUUUCUAGGAUGAAGGAUGUAAUUGUAGAUGUCAUUAUCAAAUGGAAUGCAUUCCGGCUCUUGUCCUUUUCUGGAUACAUUUACUUAAACUCAAUGGCGUACAUCAAAUACAUCGAAAACUUAUUUUUAUAGAUUUGGAGUUUCUUGAUUUUUUUUAGUUGGAUAUAUAUUAAUUUGCCUGAUGCAUGGAGAAGGAAAUUGACCGCUGUUUUUUCUGCACUGCCCUGGAGCAUUUUCUAUCGACCUUCUUGGUUAUAAAUUUCAAAGAAUACCAUCCAUCAAGAUUCUCAGAAGGUAGGCUGGAGUAUAUCCGAGGUUAUUGUUGAUACUCUAAAGGAUGUGAGGAUUUCUUCUUCCGCAAAAUCUACCAUGGAUUUCCUCCAGUAGUUGUUACGUCAAUAAAUUUGAAAACGGUCAUCAAUGCAAAUUAAAAUAUGAAUGAAAUUGUUUCAGCAUCUCAAGGUCAAGGUAUAGUGAUCACAGAAGGUGCUAGGUUGGAACUGCUACGCAACUAAUUUUCAAACUCUAUAUCUUCUUAUUAAGUUUCACUGGGUUAAGUCUAAGGUUUCAGUUUUGUUUUGUUGAAUCUUGAUUCGUUCUAGCAGAUUUCUGUCUUCUUUCACUAGCAAGUGAUGAGAAAGCCAUGGGAACAAAGUGUCUUGUCACUUGCAAGUGGUGUAUCCUACUUGCAUCUAACGGAUGUUUCAUUCGGAGCCGGCUAGCUGCUAGCACUUCUAAUUAUGUUCAUCAAGAGAGAGCAACACCUAGUGUGUAUCAGGUAUAUAUAGAUGCUAAUGUUGAAGAUGAUACUCUUACUUAUCAGGUUCAUGAAAUUAGACACAAUGGGGGAUUGGCGAAGCUGGUGGAAGAUACCAACACCCUGUUAUUCCCAGGUUGUAUAGUGCACAGUUGACUAGCACUAUUGAAUUAUAUAAGCACAAGACAGUAAGUGGUUCAUUAAGAAAAGCUUUUGAUGAGCAAAUUGUUGGAUGUUAACUUUCUCGUAGGUCUAACAUUUGUUAAUUUGGAGUUGUGUUAUUUAUAACACUCUUUUUACAUCUGUAUGAACUCAUUGUUAAGGUACUUUAUAUUAUUCGAGUUAGAACUAGUUGAGCUUCUUAUCUAGUAUUCA
Long non-coding RNA from Papaver somniferum (opium poppy), 1806 nucleotides. RefSeq lists it as uncharacterized. The transcript has 7 exons. The record is from RefSeq and is a predicted model, not a curated record. Lineage: Eukaryota; Viridiplantae; Streptophyta; Magnoliopsida; Ranunculales; Papaveraceae.